CAAUAAAUAAUGUUCGUAUCUCGUAUAUGUUUAGAGAUUUGGUCUAAACGUUUCUACCGAACGGCCUUAAACUGUUUGACUACGGGUGUUUAUCUUAUACAU
RNAcentral lists this non-coding RNA (102 nucleotides) under Clostridium homopropionicum. Its description in RNAcentral is "Guanine sequence". It matches the Rfam family "Purine riboswitch aptamer". From Rfam's summary of the family: Riboswitches are metabolite binding domains within certain messenger RNAs that serve as precision sensors for their corresponding targets. Allosteric rearrangement of mRNA structure is mediated by ligand binding, and this results in modulation of gene expression. Lineage: Bacteria; Bacillati; Bacillota; Clostridia; Eubacteriales; Clostridiaceae. RNAcentral also lists the same sequence under 1 other name. The record is from RNAcentral.